RNAcentral lists this ribosomal RNA (301 nucleotides) under uncultured bacterium. RNAcentral's name for it is "partial 16S ribosomal RNA". It matches the Rfam family "Bacterial small subunit ribosomal RNA", at positions 509 to 807 of the family's 1533-position model. The record is from RNAcentral.
CAGUCGCCGCGGGAAUACGUAGGGUGCGAGCGUUAAUCGGAAUUACUGGGCGUAAAGCGUGCGCAGGCGGUUCGUUAAGACAGAUGUGAAAUCCCCGGGCUUAACCUGGGAACUGCAUUUGUGACUGGCGAGCUGGAGUAUGGCAGAGGGGGGUAGAAUUCCACGUGUAGCAGUGAAAUGCGUAGAGAUGUGGAGGAAUACCGAUGGCGAAGGCAGCCCCCUGGGCCAAUACUGACGCUCAUGCACGAAAGCGUGGGGAGCAAACAGGAUUAGAGACCCGCGUAGUCCCUGUCUCUUAUAC